GUGCCUUCCUCAGACUGCUGUGAAUCUUCACUUGUAGCACAAAUUGUCACAAAAGUAAAAGAGCUAGACCCACCCAAGACUUAUACCCAGGAUGGUGUGUGUUUGACUGAAUCAGGGAUGACUCAGUUACAGAGCCUCACAGUUACAGUUCCAAGAAGAAAACGGUCAAAACCAAAAUUGAAAUUGAAGAUUAUAAAUCAGAAUAGCGUGGCCGUCCUUCAGACCCCUCCAGACAUCCAAUCAGAGCAUUCAAGGGAUGGUGAAAUGGAUGAUAGUCGAGGUAAUACUAAUUUAUUUUCCAUGAAAUAUGUGUGCAAGAAUUAAAGCAUAUAAAGUAACUUUUGAAAUAUGUGUAUGAUUUACCAAAGGGUAAAUCACACUGACUUAGUUAACCCCUGAUGUGACCCUUGCCAUUUCCAAAUGAGUGAUCUUCUUAGACCUUGCCUUUUCAGGUUCUCUUCCUUUCACACAUUUUAGAACAGACCUACCUUACAGAAAUCUCAAGGAGCACCAUAUCUUUGAAGAUCACAGGUGGGGAACUACAGAGGGCUUGACUUUAGUUUGCUAGAUAACGACACAAACCUUCUCAGAUACUGUGAGCUUGGAUAAUACCAUGUUUCAGUUAAGGUAGUUGAUGCAUACAUUCUAGAAAUGGAAAAGCUGUCAUUUAAUGUUACUUCAGGUAUAACUUCAUAUUCACCAGUGUGCAUCAUAAAGUAUUGGUUUAUAAACAUUUUCUUGAUCAAAGUAAAUAUAA
This 757-nucleotide small RNA is filed under the name Pan troglodytes (chimpanzee). RNAcentral's name for it is "retained intron". Lineage: Eukaryota; Metazoa; Chordata; Mammalia; Primates; Hominidae. The record is from RNAcentral.